UUUAACUGAGCGUUCAGUUACUUGACGUAGACCCGAAACCGGGCGACCUACCCAUGAGCAGGAUGAAGCGAAAGUAAAAUUUCGUGGAGGUCCGAACCCACGAGCGUUGAAAAGCUCGGGGAUGACUUGUGGGUAGCGGUGAAAUUCCAAUCGAGCCCGGAGAUAGCUGGUUCUCCCCGAAAUAGCUUUAGGGCUAGCCUCAAGGUGAGAGAUACGGAGGUAGAGCACUGAAUGUCCUAGGGGGUAUUGCACCUACCGAAGACUAUCAAACUCCGAAUGCCGUCAUCUUAUACUUGGGAGUCAGACUGUGGGUGAUAAGAUUCAUAGUCGAAAGGGCAACAGCCCAGAUCGUCAGCUAAGGUCCCUAAAUGUAAGUUAAGUGGUAAAGGAUGUGGGAUUGCACAGACAACCAGGAUGUUGGCUUAGAAGCAGCCACUCAUUCAAAGAGUGCGUAAUAGCUCACUGGUCGAGUGAUCCUGCGCCGAAGAUUUCCGGGGCUAAAACUUACUACCGAAGCUACGGCAUCAGUAAUGAUGGGUAGGGGAGCUUCCCAUACGGGUUGAAGCAUGACCGUAAGGACAUGUGGACAGUAUGGGAGUGAGAAUGUUGGCAUGAGUAGCGAGAUGUGGGUGAGAAUCCCACAGGCCGUAAACCCAAGGUUUCCAGGGGAAGGUUCGUCCGCCCUGGGUUAGUCGGGACCUAAGCUGAGGCCGAAAGGCGUAGGUGAUGGACAACAGGUUGAU
This 743-nucleotide ribosomal RNA is filed under the name Clostridioides difficile. RNAcentral describes it as "partial 23S ribosomal RNA". It matches the Rfam family "Bacterial large subunit ribosomal RNA", at positions 683 to 1434 of the family's 2925-position model. The record is from RNAcentral. Lineage: Bacteria; Bacillati; Bacillota; Clostridia; Peptostreptococcales; Peptostreptococcaceae.